AUUCGGCAAAAUAAUCUUUAACUGUUUAACAAAAACAUUUCUUUAUGAUUAUAUGUAAAGUAAGGUCUGCCCACUGAAUUAUAUUUAAAGGGCUGCAGUAUAUUGACUGUGCAAAGGUAGCAUAAUAAUUAGUUUUUUAAUUGAAAACUAGAAUGAAUGAUUUAAUAAAAGAUAAGCUUUUUUUUAUUUUAUAAGUUGAAUUUUAUUUUUAGUGAAAAAUCUAAAAUUUUUUUAAAAGACGAGAAGACCCUAUAGAUUUUUAUAUUUUAUUUGAUAAAAAAUUAAAUAAAAUAUUUGAUUGGGGUGAUUAUAAAAUUGAAUUAACUUUUAUUGAUUGAUUACAUUAAUUUAUGGAUAUUAGAUUUUAAUAAUAAAUUUUUAAAAUAAGUUACCUUAGGGAUAACAGCGUAAUUUUAUAUUUAAGUUCUUAUUAGAUAUAAAGAUUGCGACCUCGAUGUUGAAUUAAGAUUAAUAUUAAAUGCAAAAGUUUAAUUGAAUAGUCUGUUCGACUAAUAAUUUCUUACAUGAUUUGAGUUCAGACCGGCGUGAGCCAGGUUGGUUUCUAUCUUUAAAUUUAAAUGUUAAUAUUAGUACGAAAGGAUUUUAUUAGGAAUUUUUUAUUUUAUUAUGAAUAUUAUUAAUAA
This 644-nucleotide ribosomal RNA is filed under the name Lype reducta. Its description in RNAcentral is "16S ribosomal RNA". The stretch from base 399 to 557 matches the Rfam family "Archaeal large subunit ribosomal RNA", at positions 2542 to 2701 of the family's 2987-position model. Lineage: Eukaryota; Metazoa; Arthropoda; Insecta; Trichoptera; Psychomyiidae. The record is from RNAcentral.